RNAcentral lists this ribosomal RNA (1381 nucleotides) under uncultured bacterium. RNAcentral's name for it is "partial 16S ribosomal RNA". It matches the Rfam family "Bacterial small subunit ribosomal RNA", at positions 8 to 1371 of the family's 1533-position model. The record is from RNAcentral.
AGAGUUUGAUCCUGGCUCAGGAUGAACGCUAGCGACAGGCUUAACACAUGCAAGUCGAGGGGCAGCGGGGCGGCAGGCUUGCCUGCCGUUGCCGGCGACCGGCGCACGGGUGAGUAACACGUAUGCAACCUGCCCGUGGCAGGGGGAUAAGCGGGGGAAACCCCGUCUAAUACCGCGUAACGCGGCCUAGGGACAUCCCAAGGCCGCCAAAGGGAGCAAUCCCGGCCACGGAUGGGCAUGCGGCGCAUUAGCUAGUCGGCGGGGUAACGGCCCACCGAGGCGACGAUGCGUAGGGGUUCUGAGAGGAAGGCCCCCCACACUGGUACUGAGACACGGACCAGACUCCUACGGGAGGCAGCAGUGAGGAAUAUUGGUCAAUGGGCGCGAGCCUGAACCAGCCAAGUCGCGUGAGGGAGGACGGCCCUACGGGUUGUAAACCUCUUUUGCCGGGGAGCAACGGGCGUCACGUGUGGCGCCACUGAGAGUACCCGGAGAAAAAGCAUCGGCUAACUCCGUGCCAGCAGCCGCGGUAAUACGGAGGAUGCGAGCGUUAUCCGGAUUUAUUGGGUUUAAAGGGUGCGUAGGCGGAUCGUUAAGUCAGUGGUCAAAUUGAGGGGCUCAACCCCUUCCCGCCAUUGAAACUGGCGUUCUUGAGUGGAAGAGAAGUAUGCGGAAUGCGUGGUGUAGCGGUGAAAUGCAUAGAUAUCACGCAGAACCCCGAUUGCGAAGGCAGCAUGCCGGCUUCCUACUGACGCUGAAGCACGAAAGCGUGGGGAUCGAACAGGAUUAGAUACCCUGGUAGUCCACGCGGUAAACGAUGAGCGCUAGGUGUCCGGGGGGAAUGGCCCCUGGGCGCCACAGCGAAAGCGUUUAGCGCUGCAGAUGGGGAGUACGCGGGCAACGAUGAAACUUAAAGGAAUUGCCGGGGGCCCGCACAAGAGUAGGAACAUGUGGUUUAAUUUGAUGAUAUGCGAGGAACGUUACCCGGGAUCAAACGAUGCAGGAAGUGUGUGUGAAAGGAUGCGCCGUCACAGGACAUGCGACGAGGUGCUGCAUGGAAGUCGUCAGCUAGCGGCGGGAGGGUUCUGCUUAAGUGGCAUAACGAGGGCAACCCUCAUGGACAGUGGCUAACAGGUAGAGCCGAGGACUCUGUUGAGAGUGCGGUCGCAAUCUGAGAGGAAGGGGGGGAGGCCGUCAAAUCAGCACGGCCCUGAUGUUCGGGGUGACAGACGGGUUACAAUGGCCGUACAAAGGGAUGCGCAGGGCGAGAGCCGGAGGGGAACCCUAAAACCGGUGUCAGUUGGAAGUGGAGUGUGCAACCUGAGUCCAAGAAGAUGGAUUUUCUAGUAAUUGUGCAUCAGCCACGGGGAGGUGAAAAAGU